GAGUUGCACCCUUCAGAUUUUUCAGGGGUCACCCCCAAGAAAAGGGAGAUCCAAACGCCAAAUCCAAUGCUAACCCCUUCUGCAACUCCUGGAGGUGCUGGCUUUACUCCUCGAAUUAGCAUGACACCAUCAAGGGAUGGGUACUCUUUUGGUAUGACACCAAAAGGAACUCCCAUCAGGGAUGAACUCAAUAUAAACGAAGACAUGGAUAUGCAUGAUAGCGCCGCGCAAAGCUUGAGCGACAAAGACAAGCUGAUCUAAGAAGGAACUUGCGGUCUGGUCUUAGUAAUCUUCCACAGCCC
Molecule: unclassified non-coding RNA, 302 nt
Filed under: Hevea brasiliensis (rubber tree)
Lineage: Eukaryota; Viridiplantae; Streptophyta; Magnoliopsida; Malpighiales; Euphorbiaceae
Source: RNAcentral